Molecule: long non-coding RNA, 2708 nt
Organism: Carassius auratus (goldfish)
Lineage: Eukaryota; Metazoa; Chordata; Actinopteri; Cypriniformes; Cyprinidae
Exons: 4
Source: RefSeq, a predicted model, not a curated record
AAAAUCUUUCAAAAGUAAAACUGAUACUAAGAGAUAAGCCAUAUGUUAAGAAAUACUCAAGAAGAGAGAGGAGGAAAGGCAGCAGCAGAGGAUGCGAGAAGAAUGGAGUUUGAUGCUGGAGCGUCAUCAUUGCCUAGUGACACUCCUAGCAACAGGAAACAUCUGUUUCAGCGUCGACCAAUCAGGAGCCGGUGCAGUCUGUUAUUGCUCGCUGCACAGAAAGGGGAUAUUUUAAGAGCCGAGAGUGAGCCGAAUACUACAGGGAUUAUAUCAAAAGCAAGACUUCGACAUCUGGGGGCGAAGCGUCAAGCUCACGCGGAGCUGAAAGCGGCUACAUUCGGCACGUUAUGAGCUGUUUUGAGCCUCUGGUUUGAUGAACGCGCGUGCGGGGACUGUUAAUGGGGCUUUAGAAAUAAGGAUCCAUUAGGCAAUGUGUGUGAGCCAGAGGAAAGAGUCUCAGGUCAAUAGAGGAUUUGUCAGAGAGGUGUGUGACUGUGUCCACGUGAAGCAGUUCUCAGGGUCUUUCCUCUAAGAGUGCCCUAAACGGUCAACAACGUCGAAAGUCGCCUACUUUAAGCGAAAAUAUGCGGAAGAGGAGGAUGUUCAGGGAAGCCUACAUGGAUAUUUACAAAAACACCUGAUCCUGCGUGAGGAGCGCAGCUGCAUCCUGCGCCUGUCUCUGCAGAAGCUGCGUUUCCUAGAUGACCCCGAGGCUUACCUUCGCCGCUCUGUGCUCAUCAACAACCUGCUACGCAAGAUCCACCUGGACGAAGCCCAGAGGGAAAGAGAGAAACAGAGGGAUGACAAGGAAGGGGAGGAGGAGACGGAGAGGAGGCGGAAGAGACUGAAGGUGGUGCUCCAGGAGUUCCAGCAGUACAAGCUGCUGCCGUUCUCAUCUUCUCCAGCCACGUGCAUCUGCGGCCUGGGCAGCUGCCACACCCUGCCUCCUGAUCAUGGAGCUUCAGUGCUGCUCUAUCACUUAGAUGAUAAAGGAUAAGAUGUCAUGCACACAUGCAGGGGAUUUUUCAUCUAUCUAUGACUGAUUUCCAGGAGCCAGCAUUAAGGGAGAAGAGGAUUCUGGUUUGUGUGCAUUUGUGCUUGUGCUGGUGAGCGUGAGCUCUGCGGUUAGUGACAUGAUAGGUGUCUAUCCAUAUCAGGGUGCAUUUUCCAACCGGAAAAAGACAUCAUCUUGUUAUCACUGCUUUGUUGAUAUGAACUUUGACCACAGACAUUUUGUUUUCAUAAAUUUGCUUGAGUGAGCUAUAAUCUUAAAGGGUUACUCCACCCCAAAAAAAAUAUUUUGUCAUUAAUCACUUACCCCCAUAAGUUCCAAACCUUUAAAAGCUUAGUUCGUCUUUGGAAACACAAUUUAAGAUAUUUUCAAUUUAAGAUACUCUUCUGUGUCAGCCACGCUGCAUGCUUUCGCUGUUUUCAAAUCAAAGUGUAAAUACACAUAGAAAAUGUAUCCUUGUGUCGCGGCUGACAGAACAAAAUACGCGGCUUGCCUUCAGCUCAUAUUCUUAUAAAUGGCUCUAUGGUGAUGCGAGAUACACAGAAGAGACGAAUUGUUGAAUAAAGUUUGUACUUUGCGUACAAAAAGUAUUCUCAUCAAUUCAUAAAGUAUCUUUCAUGAUUUUCUGGAUCUUGACAGUGUAACUGACUUUCAUAAGCCUCCCGGUUUUCAUCCAAAAUAUCUUAAACUGUGUUCCGAAGAUGAAUAAAGCUUUUACAGGUUUGGAACGACAUGGGGGGUAAGUGAUUAAUGACAAAAUUUACAUUUUGGGGUGGAGUAUCCCUUUAAGCACUGUUUUCAGGGAUUAAAAAAAGGCAAAUGAAAAGCCGUGCACCUUGUGGUUGUUAUAUUAUGUUGUAAGAAAAAAAAAAAGUAAACUGUAAGUGUCAAAGUCCUGGCUGCUCCUAAGGAUGGAGUCAUUUUUACUGAAGUUUUGUUGCUGUGAAAUGGACAUUUUUGUGUAAGUGGCUACUGAUGUCAAGCUAGUAAUGGAUUAAAAAAUAUAUAAGUUUCCAUAGCUUUAACAAAAAAUAACAAAAGAAAAGAAAACAGCAAAAUGUAGGGGCAAAUAAGAAGUGAAAUUUCUUUCUUUCAGGGCGUUCUUUUGGUGUUUAUUUUAAACGGGGUCUCACUCUCAGCAAAAAACGUACAAAACUCAUCAUAUCACACCGUACCCUUUCUAAAGGUAUCAAUAUGCACAUUUAAGAUACUAAUAUGUAACAUUUUGCCUAAAUAAUGUACAAAGAUGUGUUUUAGCUUUUGUGUCUAAUUAGAGUACCACCCCAAUGAAAGUUUUUGUACCUUUUUUUCUGAGAGUGUAGUGACAUGCAGCUUUCACGAUGUAAAAAGAAAAAAGAAAAAAAAAUACUGCAUUUUGCUACUUGUGUUUCAUUGCAUACAGCCUUUUGAGGCUUUUGGCAUAAACUGUUAUGUUAAGGUGACUCUGCCAUCUAGUGUUAUGGCGAUGAAUUCUCAGCUGCAUAGACCUUUUUGGUUCAUUCAUUCAAUCAACUGUACUACCUGCCAUUUAUAAUGCUGUUUUACACUUAUUUGUACCUUGUAACAAAUUUUAGUUGUCUGUCCAGUUUGUCUGGCCAGUAUACUGAGUUUCAAAUGCCUCAUUUCACACACACACACACACACACACGUUUGUUUUUGUGAAAAGUGGGGACAUCCCAGUAAUGGUUUUAUACUG